RNAcentral lists this transfer-messenger RNA (348 nucleotides) under Acutalibacteraceae. Its description in RNAcentral is "RUG11462 sp902769255 Standard tmRNA". It matches the Rfam family "transfer-messenger RNA". Rfam says of the family: Bacterial tmRNA, also known as 10Sa RNA or SsrA, is named for its dual tRNA and mRNA-like properties. Its role is to liberate the mRNA from a stalled ribosome. Lineage: Bacteria; Bacillati; Bacillota; Clostridia; Eubacteriales. The record is from RNAcentral. RNAcentral also lists the same sequence under 1 other name.
GGGGGCGUAAAGGUUUCGACGGGGAUUUUGAACUGAAUUAAGCGAGUAGCGGAGUUGCACCGCUUUAAAAGUAACACUUAUAAAUUAAUCAACACUAAUAAUGUUGCUUUAGCAGCCUAAGUGCUGCUCGUUCCCUAUCAGAUAACCGCAGCUGAUAACGGGGCGUCGACUUUGCGGUAAAUGUGAGCGAAAAAUAGUCUUGUAUUUCGCCAUAAAUUAAAAGGACUACCUGAUUUAGAAGAUUGUUGUUUGUCGGCUUUAUUAGGGAAUUUAAAUAAUCAACUGCACUCGGAGAAAGAUUCAGGAACGAAUUUUCGGACAGGAGUUCGACUCUCCUCGCCUCCACCA